CCCUUCGGGUGAGUGGCAGACGGGUGAGUAACGCGUGGGAACCUACCCAUUGGUACGGAAUAACCCGGGGAAACCCGAGCUAAUACCGUAUACGCCCUCGGGCUUAGGCUUGAGGGGAAAGAUUCAUCGCCGAUGGAUGGGCCCGCGUCGGAUUAGCUUGUUGGUGUGGUAACGGCGCACCAAGGCGACGAUCCGUAGCUGGUCUGAGAGGACGACCAGCCACACUGGGACUGAGACACGGCCCAGACUCCUACGGGAGGCAGCAGUGGGGAAUAUUGGACAAUGGGCGGAAGCCUGAUCCAGCAAUGCCGCGUGUGGGAAGAAGGCCUGCGGGUUGUAAAGCACUUUCAGUGGGGAGGAAGGCCUGGCAGUUAAUAGCUGUCAGGAUUGACGUUACCCAAAGAAGAAGCACCGGCUAACUCUGUGCCAGCAGCCGCGGUAAUACAGAGGGUGCGAGCGUUAAUCGGAAUUACUGGGCGUAAAGGGUGCGUAGGUGGUUAUUUAAGUUAGAUGUGAAAUCCCUGGGCUUAACCUAGGAAUUGCAUUUAAUACUGAGUAGCUAGAGUUUGGGAGAGGGAAGUGGAAUUUCCGGUGUAGCGGUGAAAUGCGUAGAUAUCGGAAGGAACACCAGUGGCGAAGGCGACUUCCUGGCCCGAUACUGACACUG
RNAcentral lists this ribosomal RNA (667 nucleotides) under uncultured bacterium. RNAcentral describes it as "bacterial SSU rRNA". It matches the Rfam family "Bacterial small subunit ribosomal RNA", at positions 83 to 748 of the family's 1533-position model. The record is from RNAcentral.